UGGGGAAUAUUGGACAAUGGGGGGAACCCUGAUCCAGCCAUGCCGCGUGUGUGAAGAAGGCCUUAUGGUUGUAAAGCACUUUAAGCGAGGAGGAGGGUACUGGUAUUAAUACUACCAGGUACUGGACGUUACUCGCAGAAUAAGCACCGGCUAACUCUGUGCCAGCAGCCGAGGUAAUACAGAGGGUGCGAGCGUUAAUCGGAUUUACUGGGCGUAAAGCGUGCGUAGGCGGCUAAUUGAGUCGGAUGUGAAAUCCCCGAGCUUAACUUGGGAACUGCAUUCGAUACUGGUUAGCUAGAGUGUGGGAGAGGAUGGUAGAAUUCCAGGUGUAGCGGUGAAAUGCGUAGAGAUCUGGAGGAAUACCGAUGGCGAAGGCAGCCAUCUGGCCUAACACUGACGCUGAGGUACGAAAGCAUGGGGAGCAAACAGG
This 430-nucleotide ribosomal RNA is filed under the name Pseudomonadota bacterium. RNAcentral describes it as "Proteobacteria bacterium partial 16S ribosomal RNA". It matches the Rfam family "Bacterial small subunit ribosomal RNA", at positions 355 to 776 of the family's 1533-position model. Lineage: Bacteria; Pseudomonadati; Pseudomonadota. The record is from RNAcentral.